RNAcentral lists this ribosomal RNA (435 nucleotides) under uncultured bacterium. Its description in RNAcentral is "partial 16S ribosomal RNA". It matches the Rfam family "Bacterial small subunit ribosomal RNA", at positions 29 to 507 of the family's 1533-position model. The record is from RNAcentral.
AACGAACGCUGGCGGCAGGCUUAACACAUGCAAGUCGAACGCGUGCAGCAAUGCACGAGUGGCGCACGGGUGAGUAACGAGUGGAUAUCUGCCUUUUGGUUCGGAAUAACCCCGGGAAACUGGGGCUAAUACCGGAUGGUUCCUACGGGAUAAAGAUUUAUCGCCAAAAGAUGAGUCCGCGUCCGAUUAGCUAGUUGGUGAGGUAAUGGCUCACCAAGGCGACGAUCGGUAGCUGGUCUGAGAGGACGAUCAGCCACACUGGGACUGAGACACGGCCCAGACUCCUACGGGAGGCAGCAGUGGGGAAUAUUGGACAAUGGGGGCAACCCUGAUCCAGCCAUGCCGCGUGAGUGAUGAAGGCCUUCGGGUUGUAAAGCUCUUUUGGCGGGGACGAUGAUGACGGUACCCGCAGAACAAGCCCCGGCUAACUUCGUG